GACAGAGGGGGCAAGCGUUGCUCGGAAUCACUGGGCGUAAAGGGCGCGUAGGCGGGAUGGCAAGUCGGUCGUGAAAUCCUUCGGCUCAACCGAAGAACGUCGGCCGAUACUGCCGUUCUUGAGGGAUGCAGAGGAGAUUGGAAUUCCCGGUGUAGCGGUGAGAUGUGUAGAGAUCGGGAGGAACACCGGUGGCGAAGGCGGGUCUCUGGACAGUUCCUGACGCUGAGGCACGAAGGUCAGGGGAGCAAACGGG
RNAcentral lists this ribosomal RNA (253 nucleotides) under uncultured bacterium. RNAcentral describes it as "partial 16S ribosomal RNA". It matches the Rfam family "Bacterial small subunit ribosomal RNA", at positions 524 to 776 of the family's 1533-position model. The record is from RNAcentral.